This 253-nucleotide ribosomal RNA is filed under the name uncultured archaeon. RNAcentral describes it as "partial 16S ribosomal RNA". It matches the Rfam family "Archaeal small subunit ribosomal RNA", at positions 474 to 726 of the family's 1478-position model. The record is from RNAcentral.
AACCAGCACCUCAAGUGGUCAGGAUGAUUAUUGGGCCUAAAGCAUCCGUAGCCGGCUCUGUAAGUUUUCGGUUAAAUCUGUACGCUCAACGUACAGGCUGCCGGGAAUACUGCAGAGCUAGGGAGUGGGAGAGGUAGACGGUACUCGGUAGGAAGGGGUAAAAUCCUUUGAUCUAUUGAUGACCACCUGUGGCGAAGGCGGUCUACCAGAACACGUCCGACGGUGAGGGAUGAAAGCUGGGGGGAGCAAACCG